AAAAUUCUCAUUUCCUGCCGUCUAUUUAUUUUGGGGUGUGGCUCGGGUCUUGUUUUUGGAGUAUGACUUCUCCGACAUUGGUUGGUCAUCUUUUCAGUUACUGCUAUCUCUUCGGAGUUUAUUUAGAUUUUCUGCAAAAAUGGUUCCUAAAAUUAUGAGAAGUUUUAUAAAUGCUUGUCCAAAAUUAAAAACUGCCUCUUGUAGUUCGAAGAUUUUAUGAGCGGGCAUGGUAUAGAUAAACAAGUAAUUAAUGAUUAAAAUUGGGAUACAGUUGUAUGGUAGAACUAACAAACAAAGGAUAAAAAUCAGAUGAAAGAUAGGAUAUUGCCCCAUGUUCGUCCAUAUUUUUGUAACUGGGGACUCUGAAAUAUUUGCUUGAACCUUAUUAAUUGUAGAAUUUGAAUGAUUGGUAGGUUCGCAGUUCUCCUGUUUGAUAUCUUUAGGGAGUGGUGUGAUAUGAUUGAGCUGGUUGUCAGGUUUGCAGUUUUUAACAUCGGGGAAGAGUGAUGCAAAUCGUCUUGUUGCAAAAAUGGCAGGGUCUAAAUGCCUGAAAGGUUCGCUGCUGGUGGGUUUGAACCUUAAUGACUCUGUUGGGAAUAAUUCGGGUGUUAAAUGUUUGAAAGGGAACGUGUAAUUGGGGUUGUGCUUUAUAUGAUAUGUGCUAACGGCGGGUGGUGAUAUAUAACGGAUUUUUUCUGUAUACAGUUUAAGUUUGUUGACGUGGAUUGUGUCAGUGUCUCUUUGAAGUGGUUGAUUUGGUCGAUCUAUGCGGACCACAUUUGGUGAAAUAAUUUCUAAUAUUGUGUGAGGUCCUGUGAAAUAUGGCGCAAGUUUCCCUGUAUUUGGGUGGUGAUAUAAUUUUACUAACACUAGAUCACCUACUUCGAAAUGUGGUUGCUUGUGUCGUUGGUCAUAAAUGUUUUUGUCUUGUAAAUGUUUGUUUUGUGUGCGUGUGUGUGCAAUUUUUCUAGCUUUGUCGAUAUCUGGGUACGGUGUGUUAUGAUUAGAGAUUUCUGGGGGUAGGAUACCAAACAUUAAGUAUAUGGGUGGAAAACCUGUGGUAGAGUGGGGUGUCUUGUUAUAUAUAAGUGUAACCUUCUUGACCAACUUGGUCCAUGCGACCUUAGGAUUUUCUAGGUGUAAUAACCUAAGUUUUCCCGUGAGGGUGGCGUUCAGGCGUUCACAUAGGCCGUUGGCUUGUGGGUUGUUGCUGGUUGUGAUUAACGGGUGAAUAUUUCUAUUAAGGAGAAAACUACGAAAUUUGGGUGAAGUGAAGGCAGGGGCUCUAUCCGUAAGAAGGCGUUUUGGAGAACCAUCCUGGAAUACUCGCUUAAGUACCUGUUGGUAGGUGGUGGUAUUGGUCGAUUUAGAUGGAAAAGCCCACGCGUAGCGUGAAAAAUGAUCGACUACCACAUGGAGGUAUAUCUUGGUGUUGCCAUAUUUGGCAAAUCCUGCUAUGGUGUCCAGAGAUAAAAGGUCGAAGGGUUCUUUAGAUUCCGGAGGUUGACUUAAUUCUCCGUAAGUGGGUCCUACUGGACGUUUUGUUAAUUGGCAGGUGGGACAGGUCUUAACUUUUUGUUUAAUAUCUUUUGACAUACCUUGCCAGUAAUAUUGUGUGGAGAUGAUUCGUGACAUUUGGGAAAUACCGGGGUGAUUGUAUUGUGUGUGUACUGUUUGUAAGAGUUGUUGUAUGAGUGGUUUUGGAAGUAUAAUCUUGGUUACACCUUUUCGGGAAACUGUAUGUAAUCCAUUACGAUCAAUGGUCAAAGUAGACUCUUUCGAUGGAGGAGGUUGGUGUGUCUUGAUAAGGGUGGCGUCCAAGAAUCCACAAAACGGGUUACGGGACAAGAGAUCUGCUUCAUAUUGUAGUUUUCCUUUUAUGUAGCGGACCUCAUAUUCGUAACUCGAUAGUCGUAAACUCCAUCGAAACAGUCUGCCGGACGGGUUCUUGAUGGUUUUCAACCACUGCAAUGCGUGAUGGUCAGAAAAUAUAGUAAAUUUUCUGCCCAUAAGAUAGAUGCGAAACUUCUCCACACUCUCAACGAUUGCUAAGCACUCAAGUUCAGAGAUGGAGUAGUUUUUCUCGUGUGGGCGCAAUGUUCGGCUGAAAUACUGAGCUGGAUAUACGUUCCCGUCAGGGUGAACUUGUUUGAGAAUGCCUGCUAUACCGAGGGUGGAUGCAUCGCAAUACACUUGGCAUGGCAGACCUUCUUUGUAAAGGUGUAAAAUGGGGUGUUGUGUGAGGUUUCCUUUCAGGUCAAUGAACGCCUCUUGACAAGCUUCAUUCCAGUUCCACACGACGUCCUUUUUGAGGAGAUUGUUGAGUGGUGCUCGCAAGCGAGCGUAUUCCGGAAUGAAUUUGUUAUAGACGUUCACAGCGCCUAAGAAGGAUUGUAGUGUUUUUCGGUUGUGUGGUUGUUUAAUGGCGUGGAUGAUGUCGGUAUUGCGUGUAAGUGGUGUAAUUGUACCAGCUGUAAUGGUGUAACCAAGAAAAUUUAUGGAUUGCUUAAAAAAUUCGCAUUUUGCGAAGUUAAGUUGUAGUUUCUCCGCUUCGCAAAAGGCGAAAAAUUGUCGCAGGUGGUUUUGAUGCUCCUCCAACGUGUUGGAGUAAAUGAUUAAAUCAUCAAAGUAAUGUGCCACACAGUCAAGUCCGUGUCUCUGUAGGACCUGACUUAUGGCUCGUUCGUAAAUCUGAGGACUGGUUUUUAACCCGAAAGGUAAUCGAGUGGGUUGGUAUAAUCCUUCAAAGGUGGCAAAUGCUAACAGUGGUCGAGAAUCGGGGUGUAUUGGGACUUGCCAAUACGCAGAGGAUAUGUCGGCCGUGGAGAAAUAUUUGGCCUGUGCGAGGCGGUCUAGGAUAUCCUCGAUUCUCGGGAGGGGAUGGACAUCAGAGCUGAUUAGCUCGUUCACCUUCCUAUAAUCGAUACAAAACCGUUUGGUCUUGUCGCGCUUAGUGACGAGGGUGACAGGGCUCGAGAAAGGUGAAAAAGAUUGCUCUAUGAUGCCGUUCUCCAGCAUUUGUUGUAUUUGGUUACGGAUUUCUUGUUGGUCACAUAUCGGAACACGAUAUGGACGUAUGGUGAUUAUUUUUUCGGAAUUCGUGGGUAUUUUUACUGGUGGAAUCCGUAAGCAUGGUACGUUGAAUUUGUCCUGUGAAAAAAUGUGAGUGUACCUUUGUAGAAGUGUUGUGAACUGUGGUGUAUAGUGAGUGUUAGGUGUUGUGUUGUAGUAUGCAUGGGGUAAAGGGUUUUGUUGUGUAUUAGUGUGAGUGUCGAGUUCGUUGUGUGGGUUGGUCAUGUGAGAGUUGUGCAACGGUGUGUGAUCACCUAUGUUUUUGGUAUGCGAGUUAUCCCGCUGUGUGGGUGCGUUUUGGACAGGUUCAUAAGUUGAAGUUGUUGUGGUUUGAUUAUUUGAGGGCAUGUAAAAAAGGCAAUUGACUUUAGUGAAAAAGGGGCAUGUAGAUAAGUGGGUUUUUCUCAAUGAAUGCACGCAAUGGUUGUCAUAGGCGGAAAGUUGGGAUGCGGGGAAAAUUUUUUGUGACAUCGCCUGACACUGCCAGUACGUGCAUACAUUGGACACGUGAUUAAAAUGGUAGGAAAGGGUAGACAAUGGGGCGCCCAGCUGGAAUAUAGUGCAUUUAUUAAAAUCUAUGGUUAAUCUGAAUUUAUGGAGGCUAUUGAUAUUAAGAAUUCCAAAUGGCAAUGGUGCAUUCACUACAUGGAAAUUCUCCUUUCGCGAUAUUUGUCCUAUUGUCAGUGGGAUAGAUAGUUUACCCAUGGUUUUUGCAAAUCCGUUUAGGGUUUGGAGGUGUAGUGAAUGUCCCUCAAGGGUUAAAUUAGGCAGGUGGGUUUUUAGCAUAUGAUAAAUAUUAUAUGGCACUAUACUCAGGCUGGCGCCUGUAUCAAUUAAAAAGGGGCAUGAUACAUUAGGGGCUAGAAAAAGUUUGACAGUCAGUUGGUUUAGGGAGCCUACCUCAGUCUCGAAAGGGCUGCUCUGCUGGGGUGUCUCUGUCUUGACUUGGUUGUUGUGGAAUCGGAACUGGUGAUUUUGGGACCGUUUGCACUGUCCGGACUUUUUCGUGGGUCGUCGGGACUGGUCGACGUCGGCAUUCGCUGUGCCAGUGUCUCGCGCCGCAGAACUUGCAGUUGGACGGUGGAAGAGGUGCAUUCCAUGCACCUGGGCGUCGGGGUGUGCUGUGGUACGGACCCGACAUUGUGGGUGGUUGAUCUUCUCUGGGUCGCGUUGCCGGUACACUGGGCCCGUGGAUCCGCUGUACCAGUCGGAACCAUUCUCCUAGGUUCUCGGGAGGUACUACGCGGACUAGGCGCUGGUCGUUGAAUGGCAGUCCUUCUGUCAGCGUCUCGAGGAUCACCUCCUGUGGAAGUCCUAGUUGCAAUCCCAUGGCGGUUUUCUCCCGGUAAUAGGUCUCUAGGUUGGCUUGCCCAGUAAGCUUCAUGGCGAAAUAUUUCGCAAAGGACGCUUCGCUUGACUCAGGAUAGAGAUCUAGGAGGAUUUGUCUCACCUGGAAGUAGCUCCGGUCGGCCAUCCGAAGUUUCCUGAAGAGCUCCAGGGGUUGUCGCGCCAGAUAGUUUGGCAGGCGGAGUAAUUUUUCUUGUUCUCCCAUGGAUGCGUCUUCCAUUUUUCGGUCGAAUGCUUGGAAAAACUGUGUCGCGUUGUAUGUGCCAUCGAAAGGCGGGAUUGUCGAUUCCGCUCCAUCAGAAAUUUUUACUCGGGACAGGAGCGUUGACAGCUGGUUGACGGCGUCCGCUAGGGGCGCAGUUGUCUCGCCCGUCUCUCUUACUUCCUGCCUCCCUUCCGUGGUUGUUUCCAUCGGGCCGUCCGACUUUAUGCUUAUGGGAUCCUGAUCAAGCUCCAUAAUAUCUUUAUCCUGAUUUAAUUCCAUCUCUUUAUCCUGUCGACUUAUGUAAUAUAAUCCAAAGUUAUUACACUGCAAUAUUUGAUGUAUUACACUGUGGUAGAAUCCUGUCGACUUAACCGUUCUGUGGCAAUAUCGUUGCGGAAUUUCUUGUUGUUGGAUGCGAAUGGUGAGAUUUGAUUGAAGCGCAGUCGUUUGAGUGGAAGUUGCAGCAUACAGUUAGGAAUAAUCAGGACACGUGAUGGGGUUUGAAAAUGAAAGGCAACUGGAUUGGAGGAAAGAAAGCUUGAGAAGAGCGGAGCGAUUUGGAUUGUUAAUUAUCUGAUCACAUGACGGUGAUUAAACUUAGCUGUGGGAUGAGCAGAGGGAGAGAGGCCUCGCGAGUAGAUGUCACCUUGUUGGAAGCGGAAUCACAACUGUCCGAACUCGGCGAGAGCCAGUGAACCACUGUAGGUGUUGUUCCUAUGAGAGCUAAAACACUACUAGGUCCGAACUCGGCGAGAGCGAGUGAACAACUGCCCAUUCUUCCUUUUCGAUUUUACACCAAGACUCAGUUCCUUUCUGAUUGGUUGAGAGAUGAUCACAUGAUCUUUUCCUAUUGGUCGACCUAUUUAGGUGCUGUCUUCUGAUUGGACCGCGGCUCUCUUUGGUGAAAGAUAUGGCCUGCCUGAUAUAUCCGAUUUCGUCAGGAAGUGUUGGGUAGCUUGACGCUUAUAACUUCGACGGAUAUUAGAUACGUCCUGUCUUUGCCGGAAAUAUUGGGUGUUAGCUUAACAUUUAUAACUUCUGGUCACCAGAUACAUCCUGCUUUGUCAGGAAGUAUUGAGUGCUUCUUGACUAAUAUAACUUCUGCGGUCACUAGAGACGUCCGGUCUUUGCCCCUGCAAUAUUGACACAGGGGUGCCAAGAAUAGUCGUGCCAGCUUUAGGCCUACUUCCUAUGUCUUAUUGCUACUUGCUUUCCUCCAGUUACCUUGUUCUUU
Cordylochernes scorpioides is the source of this 5858-nucleotide non-coding RNA. The record is from the annotation of a GenBank genome assembly. NCBI's taxonomy places the organism in Eukaryota, Metazoa, Arthropoda, Arachnida, Pseudoscorpiones, Chernetidae.